GAGAUUGUAAAACAUUAAUGUUUGUCCAAGUAAGUCCAAGCUCAGCAGACUUAGGAGAGACCAUGUGUUCACUGAAUUUUGCCACUCGUGUCCGUGGAAUUGAGAGUGGCCCGGCUCGCAAACAAGUAGACCUCGGUGAGCUGUUCAAGUACAAGCAAAUGGUAAGCUAAAGUAUAAUUGUGCUUUCAAUAAGAAUAACCAUGUUUUUCUUUAACUAUUACUAAAACUCACAAGUUUUUGUCAUAAUAAAAGGCAGAAAAGGCCAAACAUGACGAAAAGGAAACAAGGAAAUUGCAGGAUAGCCUACAAACUUUACAACUCAGACUUGCUGCGAGAGAAUACCAUUGUAAAAGCCUUCAGGAAAAGGUAUAAAUGCAAAUUUAAAGGUUUCGUUUUGCUUCCCAUAAAUGAAACUGUUAUGUUUACCUUCAUAUUCACAUAUGUAUCAUACUCAUCAACUCUGAAAUAAUUUUGACAGGUACGGGACCUGGAGAAUCAAAUAGCAGAAGAAAGAAAAACUAGACUAAAGCAAGAAAGUAGAUCACUUGCUGCUGUUUCAUCUCAACAACCUCCAU
Molecule: long non-coding RNA, 575 nt
Filed under: Medicago truncatula (barrel medic)
Lineage: Eukaryota; Viridiplantae; Streptophyta; Magnoliopsida; Fabales; Fabaceae
Description: long non-coding RNA (MTRU_LNC006052)
Source: RNAcentral